RNAcentral lists this ribosomal RNA (1480 nucleotides) under uncultured bacterium. RNAcentral describes it as "bacterial SSU rRNA". It matches the Rfam family "Bacterial small subunit ribosomal RNA". The record is from RNAcentral.
AGAGUUUGAUCCUGGCUCAGAGUGAACGCUGGCGGCGUGCCUAACACAUGCAAGUCGAACGAUGAAACCUAGCUUGCUAGGUGGAUUAGUGGCGCACGGGUGAGUAAUAGAUAGCUAAUAUGCCUCUUGGAGAGGGACAACAGUUGGAAACGACUGCUAAUACCUCAUACUCCUGCUUUUCAUAAGAAGAGUAGGGAAACGAUUUUUUGCCAAGAGAUUAGGCUAUCUCCUAUCAGGUAGUUGGUGAGGUAAAGGCUCACCAAGCCAAUGACGGGUAUCUGGUUUGAGAGGAUGAUCAGACACACUGGAACUGAGACACGGUCCAGACUCCUACGGGAGGCAGCAGUGGGGAAUAUUGCACAAUGGAGGGAACUCUGAUGCAGCAACGCCGCGUGGAGGAUGACGGUUUUCGGAUUGUAAACUCCUUUUAUAUGAGAAGAUAAUGACGGUAUCAUAUGAAUAAGCACCGGCUAACUCCGUGCCAGCAGCCGCGGUAAUACGGAGGGUGCAAGCGUUACUCGGAAUCACUGGGCGUAAAGAGAGUGUAGGCGGCUUUACAAGUCUUGUGUGAAAUCCUAUGGCUUAACCAUAGAACUGCAUGAGAAACUGUAAAACUAGAGUAUGGAAGAGGAAGAUGGAAUUAGUGGUGUAGGGGUAAAAUCCGUAGAGAUCACUAGGAAUACCGAAAGCGAAGGCGAUCUUCUGGGACAUUACUGACGCUGAGACUCGAAAGCGUGGGGAGCAAACGGGAUUAGAUACCCCGGUAGUCCACGCCCUAAACGAUGAAUGCUAGUCGUCGGGGAGCUGUCUCUUCGGUGAUGCAGUUAACACAUUAAGCAUUCCGCCUGGGGAGUACGGUCGCAAGAUUAAAACUCAAAGGAAUAGACGGGGACCCGCACAAGUGGUGGAGCAUGUGGUUUAAUUCGAAGAUACGCGAAGAACCUUACCCGGCCUUGAUAUCCCAAGAAUAGUCCAGAGACGGACUAGUGCUAGCUUGCUAGAACUUGGUGACAGGUGCUGCACGGCUGUCGUCAGCUCGUGUCGUGAGAUGUUGGGUUAAGUCCCGCAACGAGCGCAACCCCCGUGAAUAGUUGCUAACAGUUCGGCUGAGCACUCUAUUCAGACUGCCUUCGCAAGGAGGAGGAAGGUGGGGACGACGUCAAGUCAUCAUGGCCCUUAUGGCCGGGGCAACACACGUGCUACAAUGGUAUGUUACAAUGAGAGGCAAUACCGCGAGGUGGAGCAAAUCUAUAAAACAUAUCUCAGUUCGGAUUGCAGUCUGCAACUCGACUACAUGAAGCCGGAAUCACUAGUAAUCGCAGAUCAGCUAUGCUGCGGUGAAUACGUUCCCGGGUCUUGUACUCACCGCCCGUCACACCAUGGGAGUUGAUUUCACCCGAAGCCGGGAAGCUAACCUUCGGGAGGCUACCGUCCACGGUGGAAUCAGCGACUGGGGUGAAGUCGUAACAAGGUAACCGUA